UACAGAGGGUGCGAGCGUUGUCCGGAAUCACUGGGCGUAAAGCGCGCGUAGGCGGCUUCGCAAGUCGGCCGUGAAAUCUCCGGGCUCAACUCGGAGGGGUCGGGCGAGACUGCGAGGCUCGAGGUGGGCAGAGGGCAGUGGAAUUCCGGGUGUAGUGGUGGAAUGCGUAGAGAUCCGGAGGAACACCAGUGGCGAAGGCGGCUGCCUGGGCCUGGCCUGACGCUGAGGCGCGAAAGCGUGGGGAGCAAUCCGG
This 253-nucleotide ribosomal RNA is filed under the name uncultured bacterium. Its description in RNAcentral is "partial 16S ribosomal RNA". It matches the Rfam family "Bacterial small subunit ribosomal RNA", at positions 524 to 776 of the family's 1533-position model. The record is from RNAcentral.